CCUCUCGUAGUGUAGGGGUAACGCGCCCUAACUAUUGCACAGGGAGUCGUGAGUUCAAUUCUCACCGAGAACA
Molecule: transfer RNA, 73 nt
Filed under: Aedes aegypti (yellow fever mosquito)
Lineage: Eukaryota; Metazoa; Arthropoda; Insecta; Diptera; Culicidae
Rfam family: tRNA
About the family: Transfer RNA (tRNA) molecules are approximately 80 nucleotides in length. Their secondary structure includes four short double-helical elements and three loops (D, anti-codon, and T loops). Further hydrogen bonds mediate the characteristic L-shaped molecular structure. tRNAs have two regions of fundamental functional importance: the anti-codon, which is responsible for specific mRNA codon recognition, and the 3' end, to which the tRNAs corresponding amino acid is attached (by aminoacyl-tRNA synthetases). tRNAs cope with the degeneracy of the genetic code in two manners: having more than one tRNA (with a specific anti-codon) for a particular amino acid; and 'wobble' base-pairing, i.e. permitting non-standard base-pairing at the 3rd anti-codon position.
Source: Rfam by way of RNAcentral